Molecule: ribosomal RNA, 359 nt
Filed under: uncultured prokaryote
Description: bacterial SSU rRNA
Rfam family: Bacterial small subunit ribosomal RNA
Source: RNAcentral
AGAGUUUGAUCCUGGCUCAGAACGAACGCUGGCGGCGUGCCUAACACAUGCAAGUCCAACGUGAAAGGGGAGCAAUCCCCCGGUAGGGUGGCAAACGGGUGAGUAAGACAUGGGUGAUCUACCUUAGGGAUGGGGAUAUCCUUCCGAAAGGAGGGGCAAUACCGAAUAUUGUCCGGGACCAUGAAGGGUUCCGGGGAAAGGGAGGCCUCUGAUACAAGCUUUCGCCUUAAGAUGAGCCCAUGGCCCAUCAGCUAGUUGGUAGGGUAACGGCCUACCAAGGCAAAGACGGGUAGCUGGUCUGAGAGGAUGAUCAGCCACACUGGGACUGAGACACGGCCCAGACUCCUACGGGAGGCGAC